AUUUACAAUUGCAUGCAUCAAGAAUGUAGGAAAAGAUGACAAAUUUUGUGAUGCCAACAGGUGGAACAUCCAACUUACAAGAGCAUGUCUCUUUCUUUUCUCUGUAUUUUUCAUUUUUCUGAAAGCUCCUGUCCCCUUGUUUUUGGUCUGUUAGAGGCCUCCUCUGCCCCAUCCAGGCGGAAGAGGCCUCCUUCUUCUUCUGCCUAAUAGUGGGUCUCCCUCUCCUUGCUGGGUGAAUUGUUAAUAUUAUUUUGUUGGUUUGUUAGAUGCAGAUCUGGGCUUCAAUGUGAGGGAUGUGAGGUUUGAUCUGCUGAUUAGUGCGUCUUCCCAGCGUUGCCAUUCCAACUUUCAUUAUGUCAUGGGUGGGUUUUGCGAGUCUCAUUCUCAUGAUAAGAUGGUGCUGGGUUCUCCUUUGUACUACAGUUCUUGGUGCUG
RNAcentral lists this unclassified non-coding RNA (435 nucleotides) under Hevea brasiliensis (rubber tree). Lineage: Eukaryota; Viridiplantae; Streptophyta; Magnoliopsida; Malpighiales; Euphorbiaceae. The record is from RNAcentral.